This is a long non-coding RNA of Mus musculus (house mouse), 264 nucleotides long. RefSeq annotates it as predicted gene, 33963. The record is from RefSeq and is a predicted model, not a curated record. The transcript has 3 exons. NCBI's taxonomy places the organism in Eukaryota, Metazoa, Chordata, Mammalia, Rodentia, Muridae.
GAAAGAGAGAAGCUGAAAGAGGGGAGAAGGGAGGGGGAAAGAGCUUGCUCUCUGGGUGGUUUUCAGAAGCUCUUGGCGACACACUUGCUUCCACGUGCCUUCCUUUUGUUUCCGGUUUACCUCUACUACUGUGCGUGUGCAAGGUGUCUGUUCCAGGAAGUGUUCAUGGAUUCCACAGCAUUUCUCCCACCAACUGCCUAUUGGAAAGAACUUCUGUGCUUUCCUCCAUUGACCAGGGAUUCCUACCUCAUCAGGAAAAUGCAG